RNAcentral lists this ribosomal RNA (301 nucleotides) under uncultured bacterium. RNAcentral's name for it is "partial 16S ribosomal RNA". It matches the Rfam family "Bacterial small subunit ribosomal RNA", at positions 509 to 807 of the family's 1533-position model. The record is from RNAcentral.
CAGUAGCCGCGGGAAUACGUAGGGUGCGAGCGUUAAUCGGAAUUACUGGGCGUAAAGCGUGCGCAGGCGGUUGUGUAAGACAGGUGUGAAAUCCCCGGGCUUAACCUGGGAACUGCGCUUGUGACUGCACAGCUAGAGUAUGGCAGAGGGGGGUGGAAUUCCACGUGUAGCAGUGAAAUGCGUAGAGAUGAGGAGGAACACCGAUGGCGAAGGCAGCCCCCUGGGCCAAUACUGACGCUCAUGCACGAAAGCGUGGGGAGCAAACAGGAUUAGAUACCCCUGUAGUCCCUGUCUCUUAUAC